Molecule: transfer RNA, 87 nt
Filed under: Methylococcaceae bacterium TMED69
Lineage: Bacteria; Pseudomonadati; Pseudomonadota; Gammaproteobacteria; Methylococcales; Methylococcaceae
Description: tRNA-Leu
Rfam family: tRNA
About the family: Transfer RNA (tRNA) molecules are approximately 80 nucleotides in length. Their secondary structure includes four short double-helical elements and three loops (D, anti-codon, and T loops). Further hydrogen bonds mediate the characteristic L-shaped molecular structure. tRNAs have two regions of fundamental functional importance: the anti-codon, which is responsible for specific mRNA codon recognition, and the 3' end, to which the tRNAs corresponding amino acid is attached (by aminoacyl-tRNA synthetases). tRNAs cope with the degeneracy of the genetic code in two manners: having more than one tRNA (with a specific anti-codon) for a particular amino acid; and 'wobble' base-pairing, i.e. permitting non-standard base-pairing at the 3rd anti-codon position.
Source: RNAcentral
GCCUGAGUGGUGGAAUUGGUAGACACAAGAGACUUAAAAUCUCUCGAUCGAAUGAUCAUGCGGGUUCAAGUCCCGCCUCAGGUACCA